RNAcentral lists this ribosomal RNA (1411 nucleotides) under metagenome. RNAcentral describes it as "bacterial SSU rRNA". It matches the Rfam family "Bacterial small subunit ribosomal RNA". The record is from RNAcentral.
ACGAGUGGCGAACGGGUGAGUAAUAUAUCGGAACGUACCAUUCAGUGGGGGAUAACGUAGCGAAAGUUACGCUAAUACCGCAUAUUCUGUGAGCAGGAAAGCAGGGGAUCGCAAGACCUUGCGCUGAUUGAGCGGCCGAUAUCAGAUUAGCUUGUUGGUGAGGUAAAAGCUCAUCAAGGCGACGAUCUGUAGCGGGUCUGAGAGGAUGAUCCGCCACACUGGAACUGAGACACGGUCCAGACUCCUACGGGAGGCAGCAGUGGGGAAUUUUGGACAAUGGGGGCAACCCUGAUCCAGCCAUGCCGCGUGAGUGAAGAAGGCCUUCGGGUUGUAAAGCUCUUUCAGCCGGGAAGAAAACGCAUGGGUUAAUACCCUGUGUGGAUGACGGUACCGGAAUAAGAAGCACCGGCUAACUACGUGCCAGCAGCCGCGGUAAUACGUAGGGUGCGAGCGUUAAUCGGAAUUACUGGGCGUAAAGCGUGCGCAGGCGGUUUUGUAAGACAGGCGUGAAAUCCCCGGGCUUAACCUGGGAACUGCGUUUUUGACUGCAAGGCUAGAGUACGGCAGAGGGGGGUGGAAUUCCACGUGUAGCAGUGAAAUGCGUAGAGAUGUGGAGGAACACCAAUGGCGAAGGCAGCCCCCUGGGUCGAUACUGACGCUCAUGCACGAAAGCGUGGGUAGCAAACAGGAUUAGAUACCCUGGUAGUCCACGCCCUAAACGAUGUCAACUAGGUGUUGGGAGGGUAAAACCUUUAGUACCGGAGCUAACGCGUGAAGUUGACCGCCUGGGGAGUACGGCCGCAAGGUUAAAACUCAAAGGAAUUGACGGGGACCCGCACAAGCGGUGGAUGAUGUGGAUUAAUUCGAUGCAACGCGAAAAACCUUACCUACCCUUGACAUGCCAAGAACUUUCCAGAGAUGGAUUGGUGCCCGAAAGGGAACUUGGACACAGGUGCUGCAUGGCUGUCGUCAGCUCGUGUCGUGAGAUGUUGGGUUAAGUCCCGCAACGAGCGCAACCCUUGUCGUUAAUUGCCAUCAUUUAGUUGGGCACUUUAACGAGACUGCCGGUGACAAACCGGAGGAAGGUGGGGAUGACGUCAAGUCCUCAUGGCCCUUAUGGGUAGGGCUUCACACGUCAUACAAUGGUCGGUUCAAAGGGUCGCCAAGCCGCGAGGUGGAGCCAAUCCCAGAAAGCCGAUCGUAGUCCGGAUCGCAGUCUGCAACUCGACUGCGUGAAGUCGGAAUCGCUAGUAAUCGUGGAUCAGAAUGUCACGGUGAAUACGUUCCCGGGUCUUGUACACACCGCCCGUCACACCAUGGGAGCGGGUUCCGCCAGAAGUAGGUAGCCUAACCGCAAGGAGGGCGCUUACCACGGCGGGGUUCGUGACUGGGGUGAAGUCGUAACAAGGUA